CCAGACUCCUACGGGAGGCAGCAGUGGGGAAUAUUGCACAAUGGGGGAAACCCUGAUGCAGCGACGCCGCGUGAGUGAAGAAGUAUUUCGGUAUGUAAAGCUCUAUCAGCAGGGAAGAAAUAGCGACCUUUGGGUCGCCAGACGGUACCUGAUUAAGAAGCCCCGGCUAACUACGUGCCAGCAGCCGCGGUAAUACGUAGGGGGCAAGCGUUAUCCGGAUUUACUGGGUGUAAAGGGAGCGUAGACGGUAAUGCAAGUCUGGAGUGAAAGGCGGGGGCCCAACCCCCGGACUGCUCUGGAAACUGUGUAACUGGAGUGCAGGAGAGGCAGGCGGAAUUCCUAGUGUAGCGGUGAAAUGCGUAGAUAUUAGGAGGAACACCAGUGGCGAAGGCGGCCUGCUGGACUGUAACUGACGUUGAGGCUCGAAAGCGUGGGGAGCAAACAGGAUUAGAUACCCGAGUA
This 462-nucleotide ribosomal RNA is filed under the name uncultured bacterium. Its description in RNAcentral is "bacterial SSU rRNA". It matches the Rfam family "Bacterial small subunit ribosomal RNA", at positions 331 to 792 of the family's 1533-position model. The record is from RNAcentral.